UGAGGAAUUUUGCGCAAUGGGGGAAACCCUGACGCAGCAACGCCGCGUGAGUGAAGAAGGCCUUUGGGUCGUAAAGCUCUGUCGACAGGGAAGAAAUUGUUGUUAUCCAACAGGUAACAGCAUUGACGGUACCUGUAGAGGAAGCACCGGCUAACUCCGUGCCAGCAGCCGCGGUAACACGGGGGGUGCAAGCGUUAUUCGGAAUUAUUGGGCGUAAAGGGCGCGUAGGCGGUCUUGUCGGUCAGAUGUGAAAGCCCGGGGCUCAACCCCGGACGUGCAUUUGAAACAGCAAGACUUGAGUACGGGAGAGGAAAGCGGAAUUCCUGGUGUAGAGGUGAAAUUCGUAGAUAUCAGGAGGAACACCGAUGGCGAAGGCAGCUUUCUGGACCGAUACUGACGCUGAGGCGCGAAGGCGUGGGUAGCGAACA
Molecule: ribosomal RNA, 428 nt
Filed under: uncultured bacterium
Lineage: Bacteria
Description: bacterial SSU rRNA
Rfam family: Bacterial small subunit ribosomal RNA
Source: RNAcentral